CUGGCUCUGCUCCCUCUUGAUGCAGGUGGCUUUCUUCUAACAGCAAUAAAUUCCCCACAUGGUCAGGAGCCUGCAGCAUUCCUGGUGCUUUUUAGUUUCCUUUUUUUCUAAUCUCUGCCCAAUCCUUCUUUGUCCGUUUGUCCUUCUCACAUGGAGGGGUCCAGACGGGGGACAGUUGGUGUCUUCCAACCAAGGUGUCUCUGCCAAGCCCCACGCAGACAAUUCAGCAGCAGUGUGGUGAGACUGUGCAAGCUGUGGGUUCAGAAUGGGGGAUCUCACAGGAGCCUUUUUGCUCACGGAAUUCCAGGUGGCAGGCAGCACACAGCCCCCGCCUGGAGCAUCCUUCCUGCCCCUCGUCACUCCUGGCUCCAUGAAACUGCUGCAACAGGAGAAAUGACAGCCUGGAAAGUGCUGAAGAGAAAUCUGAGUGACCUGGGGUGAAGUUCCCAGGUCUGGCCACGCCGUUUGCUCAUUACUGCCUUCCCAGAACUCCAAGGUCCAACCUCAACCAUCAGUAUUUUGUGUUUCCAAGGCAACCCCGGCUUUAACAGCCUUCAUAAUGACAUCAUUUGGUUGAAAUGAGCAUGCAUGAUCUUUUGAUUACCACUGGAAAUAUAAAUUAGGUUACUCUCCCCAUCCCCAGCCACUUGAAAAAUAAAUGCAUUGGAGGGAGGGGGAAGGAAAAAAAAAACCUCAGAAGAGGGUAAAUGGAAAAAUCAAUUUUUACAUUAAUGGAGUCCUCGUUCAGCAUUUCUUCUCUUUAUAGAUUUAGAUAACAGUGAUAUCUUAGUUUCACAGAGCAAAGAAAUUAAUUACUUACUAAUGGUGCAAUUCAGAAAUUAAUUUAUGUUGUCCAUUUAAAUGUGUCAUUAUUAAUCAAUUUAAAGGAAGAGGCCUGUAAGCUAGCACCAUCUGAAUUGACUUAUGUUGCCAGAGGAGUCUCCCUGCCCCUUCCUUUCUAGAAAACACAUAAUUCCUGCCACCUGUGAGUUGUGUACCUCGAGCUGCUCUGGCGUCCCUGAUAGAACAAAAAAUAAGAAUUUCCUCAGGCCUGAUAGACAGGUGCAUCCUUGAUGUGUUUCCCUAGGUAUGGGGCACUGACAGGGUGCUGCAAAAAAAUUUUAAGGCUGUUUUUUGAUUUUUUUUGGGUGUAUUUAUUUGGAUUCCUGGCCUGGAAUUCAGAUUUCAUGCUGAAAAGGCAAAGCAGAGAAAGAGGAUGCUGUCUCCAGAGGAUGGGGAUGUUUUCGUCCUAGCAGGUCUUGGCCAGUUCCUGGGGUUUUAGCACACCAUGGGCACCCCAAAAGGGUCAGGGUGGGGCAGCUUCCCGAGGACGGUGAUAAUUAAAUUGUCACAGCCCUGAUUAUCUCCUUUUUACUGCUUUAUUUCAAUGGGAAGAAGUAAUAAAUGGCACAAGUAUUUUCUUUUUCUGAGUAAGGCUUGUCCUAGGCUGGAAAGGGAGGUCCUGGAGCAUGGAUAAACUAAAAAGCACUCCUUAAAGGUGUGAAGAUUUCAGAAUGGCAGCAUCUAACACUGCCUUGUUCAGUUAAAAUAAUUUCCUUUUUCCUGUCACUUGCAAACAGUCUCCCUCCAUCCUUCUUGUGGACUCCCUUUGUAAUAUCACUGCGAUUUUGGUGGUAUCCCAGUGUAAAACAGAGGGAUGUGGAGGUCUGGAAUUGAAGAGCCUACUCUGUAUCUGUAUUUAUGGGCAUUUCUUUCCUCUUUCCCCCCUCCCCUGGAAGCCAGGCUCACGUUUAACAUCUGCUGCAGCAAUAAUGCUUCUUUAUUAGGCUUGGUGAAGUUUAGACAUGUGCCCAUGAUGGAGCAGAGCCUUUAUCUGGCUUAAAGGGUUUCAGAUUAGUUUCAUGUUCUUCCUCAGUGUUUUGUUUUUCAAGCCAAUUGCUGCCCUGCUGCCCACACCAGGCACAUUCCAGCCUGGAAGUUCUUUAUUGAGCUGAAAUCCUUUCCCAGCGAAAACAGCAAACAGAGAGUGAGCAGCAGGCUGCAGAAUUAAUCAAGAAACCAUUUAGCACCUGCAAAUAAAUACUUGUGUCUGAAGAUUUUGAGGUUUUUCUGUCAAACCUUUAUUCAGGGCUAAGCAAAAAGGAAAACAAAAAGCUAUUAAAAAAUGUUUGUAUAUAUAGCAUCCAAAUCUUUUUGCGUUCUCCAGUGUAGGAAUUGAGAAGGAAAUAUAAACCCAAGUUAAAAUCCUUGACUUGUUUAAUGCUAGUUAUCUCCACCCAAUUUUCAGAAUCCUUGUGCUUUUUUAGGUUGAGAGAAAAGCAGUCUGGGGCAUUGGCAGCCUGAUUUUUAUUAAUUUCCCUCCUCCUUCCUUCUCUCCUUGUUCAAUAACCUCAGAAUCCAUCUUCUGUGGCGUUUUUUGGUGCCCUGGCCUUGCAUGGAGUCAUGCCACGAGCUUUUAUUCAUCUGCGGACAGCAGCCCCUUAAAAGUGAGCUCGAGGUCCUUGAAUUAUAUUCGAGCUGUUGAAUAUAAUUUUGGAUUUCCCUCACUCUGGAGUUUUUGGAGAACUGGAUUUGGUGCCACCCCUGGCAUGGGAACAUGGGCCCUUUUUAACCAUAAAACCUUGGAUUCUUAUGACUCUGCAGAUUCUUUUGUGAAACAAGCCUGAAAGGUGAGGUAGGGAUGGAAAAGGGUUUUCCCUUGGCCUCAUUCCUCUUGGUCUCUGUUGUUUUCCUUUUCCUAGAGGAUCUCACCCCAAUUUCCCUCACUUUCGUGGGAUCUGAAGCUGAAUCCCUCCCUCCUCUAGAAGAGAUCCAGAGCUCCUUGGGCCUUCUGUGUCUCUCUGGGAUCCCUUUUUCUAAAUUAUAACCAAGAGCAUCAUAUGCCCCCAGCCUUGGCAGCGGUCCCUCA
Zonotrichia albicollis (white-throated sparrow) is the source of this 2869-nucleotide non-coding RNA. NCBI's taxonomy places the organism in Eukaryota, Metazoa, Chordata, Aves, Passeriformes, Passerellidae. The record is from RefSeq and is a predicted model, not a curated record.